Salvia splendens (bonfire salvia) is the source of this 623-nucleotide long non-coding RNA. RefSeq lists it as uncharacterized. The record is from RefSeq and is a predicted model, not a curated record. Lineage: Eukaryota; Viridiplantae; Streptophyta; Magnoliopsida; Lamiales; Lamiaceae. The transcript is spliced from 4 exons.
AGAAAAACUAAAUUUAAAUAAGAAAGAGAUGGCGAGCGGCGGCGGAGGUGGAGGUGGAGGUGGCGGAAAGGUGUCGUUCAAAGUUACGUUGACAUCUGAUCCGAAACUCCCAUUCCAAGUCCAAGAUUUAGCGUACCGGAAGCAGCCCCCUUUACGACAGUUCUGAAAUUCGCCGCGGAGGAAUUCAAAGUCCCUCCCCAAACCAGUGCCAUCAUAACUAACGUGUCGUAGUAAAGAUCACCGUUUAAAAAGAUGGCUAUGCAGAAGUCUAAUUCACUUAUUGGGAUUUUGAGUCCAUAUUACGUGUGUUCGAAUGCUAAAAGCUGCUUCUUCUGCAUGUCUAAUGCUGUUAUUUGAUCAGAUGGAGUGGGAAUCAAUCCUCAACAGAGUGCAGGAAAUGUCUUUCUCAAACAUGGCUCGGAACUGCGCUUGAUUCCUCGAGACAGAGUUGGUGCCUGUAUGUAAGCUUGAGCUCGAGUUUUAGACAUUUUUCCCUUAUGCAUUUCAAUAUGUAUUAGUCUUUUGUGUUCUUUAGCUACCACCCAGACAGCAGAAAAUGGCACAGCCAAACCAAUUUACAAUUUAAUUAAAAAAAUUAAAUUUGAAGCCCGUGGACUAAAAAA